This 144-nucleotide ribosomal RNA is filed under the name Streptomyces albidoflavus. Its description in RNAcentral is "partial 23S ribosomal RNA". It matches the Rfam family "Bacterial large subunit ribosomal RNA", at positions 2788 to 2925 of the family's 2925-position model. Lineage: Bacteria; Bacillati; Actinomycetota; Actinomycetes; Kitasatosporales; Streptomycetaceae. The record is from RNAcentral.
GGAAGCCUGCUUCGAGAUGAGUAUUCCCACCUCCUUGAGAGGGUAAGGCUCCCAGUAGACGACUGGGUUGAUAGGCCGGAUAUGGAAGCCCUGUAAGGGGUGGAGUUGACCGGUACUAAUAGGCCGAGGGCUUGUCCUCAGUUG